This 490-nucleotide ribosomal RNA is filed under the name uncultured bacterium. RNAcentral describes it as "bacterial SSU rRNA". It matches the Rfam family "Bacterial small subunit ribosomal RNA", at positions 29 to 507 of the family's 1533-position model. The record is from RNAcentral.
AUGAACGCUAGCUACAGGCUUAACACACUGCAAGUCGAGGGGCAGCAUGGUCUUAGCUUGCUAAGACUGAUGGCGACCGGCGCACGGGUGAGUAACACGUAUCCAACCCGCCGUCUACUCUUGGACAGCCUUCUGAAAGGAAGAUUAAUACAAGAUGGCAUCAUGAGUCCGCAUGUUCACAUGAUUAAAGGUAUUCCGGUAGACGAUGGGGAUGCGUUCCAUUAGAUAGUAGGCGGGGUAACGGCCCACCUAGUCUUCGAUGGAUAGGGGUUCUGAGAGGAAGGUCCCCCACAUUGGAACUGAGACACGGUCCAAACUCCUACGGGAGGCAGCAGUGAGGAAUAUUGGUCAAUGGACGAGAGUCUGAACCAGCCAAGUAGCGUGAAGGAUGAAGGUCCUACGGAUUGUAAACUUCUUUUAUAAGGGAAUAAAACCUCCCACGUGUGGGAGCUUGUAUGUACCUUAUGAAUAAGCAUCGGCUAACUCCGUG